UUUAUCAAAAUUUUUAUAAAUAUAAUCUGCUCAAUGAAAUUUAAAUAGCCGCAAAUAUUCUGUGCUAAGGUAGCAUAAUCAUUUGUUUUUUAAUUAAAAACUAGAAUGAAAGAUUUAACGUUUUAAUUUUUUUAUUAUUAAUAAAUUUUUAAAUUAUAUUAAAUAUAAAAAUAUAUUUAUUUUUAAAAUAGACGACAAGACCCUAUUAAACUUUACUAAAGUUUAGCUGGGGCAGCUAAUUAAUUAUAAUUUUAAUUUAAUUUUUUAAAUAAAUUUCCAAUUUAAUUGAUUAUUUAAACAAGUUACUAUAGGGAUAACAGCGUAAUAUUAUUUUAAAGUUCAUAUUAAAAAUAAUGUUUACGACCUCGAUGUUGAAUUAUUAGUUCUAUUUGACGCAAUAGUCAAAAAAGUAGGUCUGUUCGACCUUUAAUAUAUUACA
Molecule: ribosomal RNA, 439 nt
Filed under: Theridion cf. frondeum X31
Lineage: Eukaryota; Metazoa; Arthropoda; Arachnida; Araneae; Theridiidae
Description: partial 16S ribosomal RNA
Source: RNAcentral